This 497-nucleotide ribosomal RNA is filed under the name uncultured bacterium. Its description in RNAcentral is "partial 16S ribosomal RNA". It matches the Rfam family "Bacterial small subunit ribosomal RNA", at positions 28 to 507 of the family's 1533-position model. The record is from RNAcentral.
GAUGAACGCUGGCGGCGUGCCUAAUACAUGCAAGUCGAGCGAACAGAUGAGUAGCUUGCUCCUCUGACGUUAGCGGCGGACGGGUGAGUAACACGUGGAUAACCUACCUAUAAGACUGGGAUAACUUCGUGAAACCGGAGCUAAUACCGGAUAAUAUAUUGAACCGCAUGGUUCAAUAGUGAAAGACGGUUUUGCUGUCACUUAUAGAUGGAUCCGCGCCGCAUUAGCUAGUUGGUAAGGUAACGGCUUACCAAGGCAACGAUGCGUAGCCGACCUGAGAGGGUGAUCGGCCACACUGGAACUGAGACACGGUCCAGACUCCUACGGGAGGCAGCAGUAGGGAAUCUUCCGAAAUGGGCGAAAGCCUGACGGAGCAACGCCGCGUGAGUGAUGAAGGUCUUCGGAUCGUAAAACUCUGUUAUUAGGGAAGAACAAAUGUGUAAGUAACUAUGCACGUCUUGACGGUACCUAAUCAGAAAGCCACGGCUAACUACGUG